This 643-nucleotide ribosomal RNA is filed under the name uncultured bacterium. Its description in RNAcentral is "bacterial SSU rRNA". It matches the Rfam family "Bacterial small subunit ribosomal RNA", at positions 188 to 848 of the family's 1533-position model. The record is from RNAcentral.
GCAUCGGGAAGAGGGAAAAGGAGCAAUCCGCUUUGAGAUGGCCUCGCGUCCGAUUAGCUAGUUGGUGAGGUAACGGCCCACCAAGGCAACGAUCGGUAGCCGGACUGAGAGGUUGAACGGCCACAUUGGGACUGAGGCACGGCCCAGACUCCUACGGGAGGCAGCAGUGGGGAAUAUUGCACAAUGGGGGAAACCCUGAUGCAGCGACGCCGCGUGGAGGAAGAAGGUCUUCGGAUUGUAAACUCCUGUUGUUGAGGAAGAUAAUGACGGUACUCAACAAGGAAGUGACGGCUAACUACGUGCCAGCAGCCGCGGUAAAACGUAGGUCACAAGCGUUGUCCGGAAUUACUGGGUGUAAAGGGAGCGCAGGCGGGAAGACAAGUUGGAAGUGAAAUCCAUGGGCUCAACCCAUGAACUGCUUUCAAAACUGUUUUUCUUGAGUAGUGCAGAGGUAGGCGGAAUUCCCGGUGUAGCGGUGGAAUGCGUAGAUAUCGGGAGGAACACCAGUGGCGAAGGCGGCCUACUGGGCACCAACUGACGCUGAGGCUCGAAAGUGUGGGUAGCAAACAGGAUUAGAUACCCUGGUAGUCCACACCGUAAACGAUGAUUACUAGGUGUUGGAGGAUUGACCCCUUCAGUGCCG